RNAcentral lists this ribosomal RNA (461 nucleotides) under uncultured Bacteroidota bacterium. RNAcentral describes it as "bacterial SSU rRNA". It matches the Rfam family "Bacterial small subunit ribosomal RNA", at positions 338 to 795 of the family's 1533-position model. The record is from RNAcentral. Lineage: Bacteria; Pseudomonadati; Bacteroidota.
CCUACGGGGGGCAGCAGUGAGGAAUAUUGGUCAAUGGGCGCAAGCCUGAACCAGCCAUCCCGCGUGCAGGAAGACGGCCCUAUGGGUUGUAAACUGCUUUUCCAGGAGACGAAUAGCUUUUACGUGUAAGAGUAUGACUGUACCUUGGGAAUAAGCAUCGGCUAACUCCGUGCCAGCAGCCGCGGUAAUACGGAGGAUGCAAGCGUUAUCCGGAUUCAUUGGGUUUAAAGGGUGCGUAGGCGGAUUGAUAAGUCAGUGGUGAAAUCCUGCAGCUUAACUGUAGAACUGCCAUUGAUACUGUCAUGUCUUGAGUUUGGUUAAGGUAGGCGGAAUGUGUAAUGUAGCGGUGAAAUGCUUAGAUAUUACACAGAACACCAAUUGCGUAGGCAGCUUACUGGACCGACACUGACGCUGAGGCACGAAAGCGUGGGGAUCGAACAGGAUUAGAUACCCUAGUAGUC